This 75-nucleotide transfer RNA is filed under the name Lachnospiraceae bacterium. RNAcentral's name for it is "tRNA-Pro". It matches the Rfam family "tRNA". From Rfam's summary of the family: Transfer RNA (tRNA) molecules are approximately 80 nucleotides in length. RNAcentral also lists the same sequence under 2 other names. Lineage: Bacteria; Bacillati; Bacillota; Clostridia; Lachnospirales; Lachnospiraceae. The record is from RNAcentral.
CGGGGUGUGGCUCAGCUUGGCUAGAGCGCCUGCUUUGGGAGCAGGAAGCCGCAGGUUCGAAUCCUGUCACCCCGA